RNAcentral lists this ribosomal RNA (253 nucleotides) under uncultured bacterium. RNAcentral's name for it is "partial 16S ribosomal RNA". It matches the Rfam family "Bacterial small subunit ribosomal RNA", at positions 524 to 776 of the family's 1533-position model. The record is from RNAcentral.
UACGUAGGGUGCGAACGUUGUCCGGAAUUAUUGGGCGUGAAGCGCGUGUAGGCGGCUUUGCAAGUCGGGUGUGAAAGCCCUCAGCUUAACUGAGGAAGUGCGCCCGAAACUGCAGAGCUUGAAUACCGGAGAGGAUGGCGGAAUUCCCCAAGUAGAGGUGAAAUUCGUAGAUAUGGGGAGGAACACCGGUGGCGGAGGCGGCCAUCUGGACGGCUAUUGACGCUGAGACGCGAAAGCGUGGGGAGCAAACAGG